CCAGCUCUUGCGGUUGUCGGCGAGGUUGUCUCUUGUGCGGCCUCUUGGUGUGCAGCGUGAUCCUGGAGCUGGUGCUUCGUGCCGCGCUGGUCAGACGGGCUUGGGUUUGGUGAGUUGCAUGCAGGUAGGUUCUGCUUGGUGUGCUUGUGGGUCGAUGUCCUCUCCCCCAUGGGCCACUGAGGGGCACUCCUCCCGUGUCCCUUUCUGGCAUCCAGCCUCCCUGCCUCCCGAUCUGUGGCGCGGCCGGUAUUGUGAGUGUCCAAACAAGGGGUUGCGCCCUGCCGGGUGGUGGCAGUUGGGGCCGCUGAGGUGCAGGCGGGUCAGGCAUAUUUGCAGGAUCCCCUCAGAGGCGUGGGAGCACCAGUGCUGGUGCCCAGGAUACCUGGCAUUGUUUCCCUCUGUGCUGGUCUCCGGCUCUGCUGGUGGGCCGCUCUGGGGACACGAGGGGGAUUCCUGCUUAAGUGGAGCCGGAUUGCUGGGUGGAUCCAUGCCGCCACCUCUUUGAUCACCAUCAUGUAGGGCCGUCUCUGAGCCUGGAGCUUUAUCCAAAGGCUGGCGCAGAUCUGGUCAUAGAACUCCUGUGAGUGCUUGGGAGGCUUGAUUAGAGUGCGUUUAGUGGUAGGCUGUGUCAGUGCCGCCAUCUUGUG
Non-coding RNA from Pelobates cultripes (western spadefoot toad), 647 nucleotides. The record is from the annotation of a GenBank genome assembly. Lineage: Eukaryota; Metazoa; Chordata; Amphibia; Anura; Pelobatidae.